Long non-coding RNA from Rhinichthys klamathensis goyatoka, 163 nucleotides. RefSeq lists it as uncharacterized. The transcript has 3 exons. NCBI's taxonomy places the organism in Eukaryota, Metazoa, Chordata, Actinopteri, Cypriniformes, Leuciscidae. The record is from RefSeq and is a predicted model, not a curated record.
UGUGUGUGUGUGAGUCAGUCAGUUGUGUGUGUUUGUGUGUGUGUGAGUCAGUCAGUUUGUGUGUGUGUGUGUGUGUUUAAUGUGACACAGAGACACUGAAGAGUUAACAUUAUAAAGUCUAAAUCCAGCAUAAAGUGGUUCAGUGAAUGUGUGUGUGAAUGUG